Molecule: long non-coding RNA, 487 nt
Organism: Passer domesticus (house sparrow)
Lineage: Eukaryota; Metazoa; Chordata; Aves; Passeriformes; Passeridae
Exons: 5
Source: RefSeq, a predicted model, not a curated record
GGCUGCAGGGUCAGGAUUUAAUUAAAACAUCAUAAAGAUGUCUUUGGGGAACUGGACACAAUAUUAUUCUGAAUGCAAUGCAGUAUUGCAGGAAAAAUGUGACUCUGUCUGCUUGUGCAUGCCCAGGGCACAAUUCAGGUGACCAAUAAAGACUAGCCAAAACAUAUAGGAUCGAGUAGAUGAUACAGAGAAAAAAUUGGAGAACAGUGUUUCCUUUCUACCCCAAACUAAGAACUGCUCUUGAUCCUUUCAAAGCAGUCUCCCUGUGAGAAAAGAAGAUGCUGUUAGCUGGAAUCAUACAAAGAAGAAAUUACAACAUUUGAAUGGAAAAUAAGGCAGAGUUGAUUCUUGAUUUCUCUGGUUACCACUGCAGAGGAAAAAUCAUUACACCUAAUUGCCUAAGCAAUUGCCUAAGCAGGGUGACGCCGGUGUGCGCGCACAGGCAAACACAGAGAAGCCUCUGGGGAAGGCGAGCAGUCAAGUGGGG